GUUUCUAUUUUCUUUCCUUUCUAACUUCUCCUUCAGAGAAACAUCUUCUUUGUCUGAAUAUUUCUUUUUCUUCCUUUCUUUUUUGCAAUGGACAGAGUUUCUCUAGACUUCAAAGGGAGACAUGGGAGGGGAGAACUAGGUCUUAUCUUUCUGCCUCUUACAAUGUGCGGUUACUAGAAUCUUAUUAGCAAGAAAGAAGAAUCACUGUACAAGAGAAAACACACCUGGAAAAUAUCCACACUUUAGUUUAUGAAGACUAUGUUUGGAAACCAAAACUGCAUGUUGUAUUAUCUUAUAUUUCUAAGUAGAUGCCUGAGAGAUGGGGGCCCCUGAAGGAGGAAAAAGGGGCAAGACGAUCAUCUUGUGUCCACUUGCACUUGGUUCCCUCAACCUCUCCCCACUUCAUCCUGGACAGAUGACACCCACGGAGAAGGCCAUGCUGAUCUUCAGGAUUUUAGGCUUACAGUGCCUUCAAGAACCUUACAUCUGGACCACCAGAAAGAACCCCGAGUGCUUGUGACUGAGGAUAGAGUGGGGCAAGGUAGAAAUGUGAAGGAUGGUUUCCAACAACAUGCCCCCACCAGCCCAGGAUUCCUUCUGGUAGGCCAGAGCUGGAUGGACUGUUCACUCUUUUAUCACAAACUAGAUCUUCACUAGGAGAAAAAGUUAGAACAGGUCACUUACUCCCAGCCCAGAUCCAUGCAGCCUAAAAAUUCUGUUAAAGCAAAAAAGGAAAAUUGGAGGAUAAAAGGAAGAAAUAAAAGGAAUAAAGAGGAGAGAGAGACUCAAUUUCAGAGUGAUCACACUGGAUACAGGUCAAGGUUCAAAAUACUAAAACUGUUUUUAAUGUUCCACUAAGUAGCAGCCUCUCAGUGCCUCUGACAAGUGAUUUAAGACAAGUGGUCUGCUCCCAAGAGGGCUCAUGAAUCUCCAUGCAUGACGGUUAGAUCGAGAGAGUCUGGAGUCACACAGUUGGAAAGGUGGCAAUGCAAAGGUCAGAAAUACAAAGGAGGAGUCCAUCCAUCAACCCUGACAGGCGGGCAUGCCCAGGAUGGCAGAAGGGACAGGAGCCAUCUGGUAGCUUUGCUUGCAAGACCAGAUUAAGAAAGCACUAGCCCAGAAACCACAAAGGAGAAGAUGGAGCUGUAUUUCCGGAGGAAAAAGCAAAGACUUCUACCCAAAGCUGAGAAUAAUCAUCCUCUCUGUUCCACCUACUCCCCGAGAGAAUCAAGCUCACUCAAAAUGCCACCCACAGACUCAAGCCUGAAGAACAGAGCUGAAAACAUGGCACAGCACCUCUGAAAAAUUGUUCAGCCCUGACCCUGGCCAAUGGAUGUGGAAAUCUCAUCUGUGGUCAAAAUCACACUCACAGAUCAGGCCACAGAUGCAAAUCCAUUUUCUGCCAUGGUAUCCACAGACCUCAUCUACAGCUUUCUGAUGACUGGCUUUCAUUCUAAUUGAAAGGCCAACGAUAAGAUCCUGAUGGAAUUUUUCCUUAACAUUAAAAGCACAAAGGGGCACCUGGGUGGCUCAGUCAGUUAAGUGCCUAACUUCG
Long non-coding RNA from Herpailurus yagouaroundi (jaguarundi), 1555 nucleotides. RefSeq lists it as uncharacterized. NCBI's taxonomy places the organism in Eukaryota, Metazoa, Chordata, Mammalia, Carnivora, Felidae. The record is from RefSeq and is a predicted model, not a curated record. The transcript has 3 exons.